Oxyura jamaicensis (ruddy duck) is the source of this 193-nucleotide long non-coding RNA. RefSeq lists it as uncharacterized. The transcript has 3 exons. NCBI's taxonomy places the organism in Eukaryota, Metazoa, Chordata, Aves, Anseriformes, Anatidae. The record is from RefSeq and is a predicted model, not a curated record.
UUUGUCAGAGAGUGCAGUGACAGGAGAAGGAGUAAUAGUUUUGAACUAAAAAAAGGUUAGAUUUAGAUUAUAUAUAAGGAAGAAAUUCUUUACUCGGAGGGUGGUGAGCCACUGGCACAGGCUUCCCAGAGAAGCUGUGAAUGCCCUAUCCCUGGAGGUGUUCAAGGCCAGGUUAGGUGUGGAUUUGAGCAAU